UCCUAGGGGGAAUGUCUGGAAAAGACCAUUCUGAUCCUCAAGGAGCUUCCAAUUAAAUGAGUGAAACAGCCUCUAAACAAGCUGCUGGAACCUGGGGUGCUGACAGCAACAUCAUGCGUCACACUGUGCAUCGUAGUCAUCUCCUUAAAUCCUCAAGACAAUCUGGUACAAUUGGUAUUAUUGCCGUCAUCUUACAGAUCAGAAAACCAAGGAAUGGAGUAGCUUAGAUUCCAUUCUACUCAAAAAUGGAAUCAAGCUCCGGUGGAACCCAAAGUCCGUGCUGUUAACUUCUAUGCUGAUGUGGGACAUGAAAUUCCAGGGAUCGAUUUUGAAACAAGCCAGGCAGAGAGACCUAGCUGCGGAACCCUCUGAUUAGGGGGAGUUAGGAGCAGUUAGCCCACCACUACCGCAGUCAGGAUGAUGCAAACCGGUCCUCCAGACAGGCGAUGACUCAAGAUAACAAGACCUCCUGCUGCACCACUCCUGCAUGUUUCCCUCACCUUUUUCCUUCUUAAACCCCUUCACUCAGCCCAAAAAGUUAGAAUGGUCUUUCAGAGGCAUGGGCCUGGCCAUUCCCCAACUGCUAGUAUUUGAAUAAAGUUGCUUUCCUUUCACCACAA
Symphalangus syndactylus (siamang) is the source of this 620-nucleotide long non-coding RNA. RefSeq lists it as uncharacterized. Lineage: Eukaryota; Metazoa; Chordata; Mammalia; Primates; Hylobatidae. The record is from RefSeq and is a predicted model, not a curated record.